This 494-nucleotide ribosomal RNA is filed under the name uncultured bacterium. Its description in RNAcentral is "partial 16S ribosomal RNA". It matches the Rfam family "Bacterial small subunit ribosomal RNA", at positions 28 to 507 of the family's 1533-position model. The record is from RNAcentral.
GACGAACGCUGGCGGCGUGCCUAACACAUGCAAGUCGAACGGUCAAACGCGUUCCUUGUUGGUCGGUGGUGAUGGGUGGCCAACUGGUGAGCACCACGUUAGUCACCCUCUCCCACUUUCUUGAUAACCGCAUGCAAGAGUUGCUACUACGUGAUAUUUUGGGUCUGUCGCAUCAUUAGUCUGGGACAGAUUUUCUUUCAGUGGGGGAUGGGCUCGCGGCCUAUCAGCUUGUUGGUGGGGUGAUGGCCUACCAAGGCGGUGACGGGUAGCCGGCCUGAGAGGGUGGACGGUCACAGUGGGGCUGAGACGCGGCGCAGACUCCUACGGGAGGCAGCAGUGGGGAAUAUUGCACGAUGGGAGCAAGCCUGAUGCAGCGACGCCGCGUGAGGGAUGGAGGCCGUCGGGUUGUGAACCUCUUUCGCCAGUGAAGCAGGCCUGCCUCGUUUGUGGGUGGGUUGACGGUAGCUGGAUAAGAAGCGCCGGCUAACUACGUG